UUCAAACAAAGUGCUGAAAUUACUACCGAACGAUACAACAUUGAACAGACAUCCAACAGGUAAACUCUUCAACAACAGUAGUAAUGUACAAUAACUUACUGUUCAAACAAAGUGCUGAAAUUACUACCGAACGAUACAACAUUGAACAGACAUCCAACAGGUAAACUCUUCAACAACAGUAAUAAUGUUUCCUUGGCCUUCUUUAUUCUAACAUUACCCAUACUACCUG
Long non-coding RNA from Mytilus californianus (California mussel), 229 nucleotides. RefSeq lists it as uncharacterized. The transcript has 3 exons. The record is from RefSeq and is a predicted model, not a curated record. Lineage: Eukaryota; Metazoa; Mollusca; Bivalvia; Mytilida; Mytilidae.